RNAcentral lists this ribosomal RNA (496 nucleotides) under uncultured bacterium. RNAcentral's name for it is "partial 16S ribosomal RNA". It matches the Rfam family "Bacterial small subunit ribosomal RNA", at positions 28 to 506 of the family's 1533-position model. The record is from RNAcentral.
GAUGAACGCUGGCGGCGUGCCUAAUACAUGCAAGUCGAGCGAACAGACGAGGAGCUUGCUCCUCUGACGUUAGCGGCGGACGGGUGAGUAACACGUGGAUAACCUACCUAUAAGACUGGGAUAACUUCGGGAAACCGGAGCUAAUACCGGAUAAUAUAUUGAACCGCAUGGUUCAAUAGUGAAAGACGGUUUUGCUGUCACUUAUAGAUGGAUCCGCGCCGCAUUAGCUAGUUGGUAAGGUAACGGCUUACCAAGGCAACGAUGCGUAGCCGACCUGAGAGGGUGAUCGGCCACACUGGAACUGAGACACGGUCCAGACUCCGACGGGAGGCAGCAGUAGGGAAUCUUCCGCAAUGGGCGAAAGCUUGACGGAGCAACGCCGCGUGAGUGAUGAAGGUCUGCGGAUCGUAAAACGCUGUUAUUAGGGAAGAACAAAUGUGUAAGUAACGAUGCACGUCUUGACGGUACCUAAGCAGAAAGCCACGGCUAACUACGU